AUUGAACGCUGGCGGCAGGCCUAACACAUGCAAGUCGAGCGGAAACGACUUAACUGAACCUUCGGGGAACGUUAAGGGCGUCGAGCGGCGGACGGGUGAGUAAUGCCUAGGAAAUUGCCUUGAUGUGGGGGAUAACCAUUGGAAACGAUGGCUAAUACCGCAUGAUGCCUACGGGCCAAAGAGGGGGACCUUCGGGCCUCUCGCGUCAAGAUAUGCCUAGGUGGGAUUAGCUAGUUGGUGAGGUAAUGGCUCACCAAGGCGACGAUCCCUAGCUGGUCUGAGAGGAUGAUCAGCCACACUGGAACUGAGACACGGUCCAGACUCCUACGGGAGGCAGCAGUGGGGAAUAUUGCACAAUGGGCGCAAGCCUGAUGCAGCCAUGCCGCGUGUAUGAAGAAGGCCUUCGGGUUGUAAAGUACUUUCAGUCGUGAGGAAGGUAGUUGCGUUAAUAGCGUAAUUAUUUGACGUUAGCGACAGAAGAAGCC
This 485-nucleotide ribosomal RNA is filed under the name uncultured bacterium. Its description in RNAcentral is "bacterial SSU rRNA". It matches the Rfam family "Bacterial small subunit ribosomal RNA", at positions 30 to 492 of the family's 1533-position model. The record is from RNAcentral.